Long non-coding RNA from Chelonia mydas (Green sea turtle), 1468 nucleotides. RefSeq lists it as uncharacterized. The record is from RefSeq and is a predicted model, not a curated record. NCBI's taxonomy places the organism in Eukaryota, Metazoa, Chordata, Testudines, Cheloniidae. The transcript is spliced from 4 exons.
AAUCCCAGGCUGGAUGGCUCCAGGGGGCUCAAGCUGCCAGAAAGGAACACGGCAUAGUGGAAACUAUGGAUGGUAAGAGAGGUUGCACAGCCGUGCUGGAUGCCAAAGAGUUGUGUGCUGUGCAACGGGGAACCAAGGUCACGGAUGAGAGGAGACUCCUCAAGAGAGGUUCCACUUUAAAAAGGAACUCCACUGAUCGAUGUUUUCACUUCCGUAAGGCUCCCAUGUGUCUGGGGAGAUGUUCAGCUUGAAUGGACAGGCGGGGAGGGCAAGAAAGAGCAGCUAGAAGAGGUUCCAAAGAAAGAUUGGGGAAAUGUGUGAAGCAGAGAUAUGAAGAGGAACACGUCACACACUACAAGCUGAAAUCCAAAGGGGGCGGUGAGGAGAGAAGAAAAAGAGAGAGAGAUACAUUGAAGCCUCAUCACAGGAUUGCCCUCUGGAGUCCAGAAGUAAGGAGCUGAAGGUCCAGCUAACCUCCAUCAUGGGUGUUCUCCCAGUUCUCCUCUUCUUCCUCCUCCUGCUCAACUGUGGUUGUCAGAAGGACUUUCUGAAUCAGCUUCAGAGGUGGAACUACAGAGAAGGAGCAGACAAAGUCAACAUCCACGGCAUUAACAGUGUCACUCGUAUGCUGGAGAAAUGGGGGAACAGCAUCUUCUGGCAAAUGAAACACUCCUUACUGAGUCACCCUAACACUCUGCUGCCUGAGUUCUCCAGCCUCCAUCCCAUCUCCGAGGCACUUGAUGACCUUCUGAAGGAAGUACGGUCAAUGAAGAAGAGGCUGGAAGAGCUGAACGAACGACUCAGUGUAAUGAGCAGGGCCUUCUUUCCUACCCGAUUCAAUGCCCUGAGGGGCCAGAGGCUCAGCAGUAUGCCGCUGAGAAGACUCCCUUUUCAGAGGAGGAGGAUGUAUAUCCGCAGGAGAGUUCAGCGGAAUUAGCUCUCUUCCAAAAAAACAACAACAAACAUUUCUAUCUUUCUCUUUUCUGCAAGUCUUUAUCAAUGAGAGACUAUUAGACUGAAUAAAGUAACACAUGUAUGAGUGAGGGUCUGGAUGCCUGAGGAGACUGGCAAUUAUGGGUUAUGGAGCUGCCUUGCAAAUCUAGGUCAUUGGGUCAAAUCCCGUGCAGCUCUGUGAUGAUGGCUGUGUGGUGACCCAUGUGUGAUGAGUUGUUGAUCUCAAUCCAGUUAAGUGUUAGUAUAUUUCCCCUAUACAGUCGUUCCCACAUUUCCUUUGGAUUGCCAACUAUAUCCCUUCUAUACAGAUCAGAUGCCUUUUUCUCCUUAUCCUACUUCACAGAGAACUAUGGACUCAGGGGUUGGGGGAUCACGUAUACAGAUGGACACUUAGGCCAAAAUUUUCAAAUGUUAGGCACCUAACUUCACAUUUAGGUACCAAAAUAAAAGUGAUUUGAUUUUCAAUGUGCUAAGCAUUUGACUUCAGGGAGAAUUGUGCUUGCUUAGCUCCACU